RNAcentral lists this transfer RNA (74 nucleotides) under Crassvirales sp. RNAcentral describes it as "tRNA-Cys". It matches the Rfam family "tRNA". Rfam says of the family: Transfer RNA (tRNA) molecules are approximately 80 nucleotides in length. Their secondary structure includes four short double-helical elements and three loops (D, anti-codon, and T loops). Lineage: Duplodnaviria; Heunggongvirae; Uroviricota; Caudoviricetes; Crassvirales. The record is from RNAcentral.
CUUGGAGUACCAGAGUGGCUAAUGGCACAGACUGCAAAUCUGAUGAUUCGUGGGUUCAAAUCCCACCUCCAAGU